RNAcentral lists this ribosomal RNA (781 nucleotides) under Pseudoalteromonas sp. AD-C2. RNAcentral's name for it is "bacterial SSU rRNA". It matches the Rfam family "Bacterial small subunit ribosomal RNA", at positions 30 to 806 of the family's 1533-position model. The record is from RNAcentral. Lineage: Bacteria; Pseudomonadati; Pseudomonadota; Gammaproteobacteria; Alteromonadales; Pseudoalteromonadaceae.
UGAACGCUGGCGGCAGGCCUAACACAUGCAAGUCGAGCGGUAACAGAGAGGNGCUNGCNCCUUUGCUGACGAGCGGCGGACGGGUGAGUAAUGCUUGGGAACAUGCCUUGAGGUGGGGGACAACAGUUGGAAACGACUGCUAAUACCGCAUAAUGUCUACGGACCAAAGGGGGCUUCGGCUCUCGCCUUUAGAUUGGCCCAAGUGGGAUUAGCUAGUUGGUGAGGUAAUGGCUCACCAAGGCAACGAUCCCUAGCUGGUUUGAGAGGAUGAUCAGCCACACUGGAACUGAGACACGGUCCAGACUCCUACGGGAGGCAGCAGUGGGGAAUAUUGCACAAUGGGCGAAAGCCUGAUGCAGCCAUGCCGCGUGUGUGAAGAAGGCCUUCGGGUUGUAAAGCACUUUCAGUCAGGAGGAAAGGGUGUGAGUUAAUACCUCACAUCUGUGACGUUACUGACAGAAGAAGCACCGGCUAACUCCGUGCCAGCAGCCGCGGUAAUACGGAGGGUGCGAGCGUUAAUCGGAAUUACUGGGCGUAAAGCGUACGCAGGCGGUUUGUUAAGCGAGAUGUGAAAGCCCCGGGCUCAACCUGGGAACUGCAUUUCGAACUGGCAAACUAGAGUGUGAUAGAGGGUGGUAGAAUUUCAGGUGUAGCGGUGAAAUGCGUAGAGAUCUGAAGGAAUACCGAUGGCGAAGGCAGCCACCUGGGUCAACACUGACGCUCAUGUACGAAAGCGUGGGGAGCAAACGGGAUUAGAUACCCCGGUAGUCCACGCCGUAAA